CUUCGAUUGGUUGCCUCCUGUACGUGCUCUGACUGGGGAAUGAACCCACAACCUAGAGCAUCUCAUUGACUUUAGCCAACAGAUCAAAUAAGUUGUUGCAUCCUUAAGGUAUUUUUAUUUGUGAAAUUUUUAAAGGUCAAAGCAAUCAAGGAGGAUGGAUCAAAAAGGAAUUUUGGAAGUGUUUUGGCUAUUGUGAGAAUUUUAAGUGAAGCCUGGAACUAGGAAUUUGGAGGAAACUGCCUCAUCAGUAAUUUGAAGGAAUUUGUAUGACUGUAAGGAGCAUCACUGAAACUGAUUGACAUUGCUGAGUGAGUGGAUCCAGAAGUUUCUCCUGCAAACCUGGUUGUAUUGUUAGGAAUUUCUCAGAAGCUCAGUAAAGUAGAUUUUUAUAAAAGUGGAAAAGUAAGAUAUUGAAACUUUCUCUCCCAACAUUUAGCUUUUAAAAACUUUGAGAGGCAUUCAUCUGAACGUCAUUGAACUUUUAUUUCCUUUGUGGCAGAUGGCACUAAUUUUCAGUGCAGUUUGAAGGUCUCUUGGAGUAAGGAAAAAUAUCUGUGCGUAUACUGUGGGAAGAUUUACCAGGAAAAGAUGGCAUGUUCUGUCCAAACCUCAUUAAACUAAGAGUCUAAGAAACCUCAGCCAAUCCAGCCUUUGAAGAAAAAUACCUCAAAGGAAUAUUUCUAUCAUAUUUCAUAUUGCUUAGUUUUAUAUGGUUAAUAAAUAUUUUGAAAUGUA
Long non-coding RNA from Phyllostomus hastatus (greater spear-nosed bat), 735 nucleotides. RefSeq lists it as uncharacterized. The transcript has 2 exons. The record is from RefSeq and is a predicted model, not a curated record. Lineage: Eukaryota; Metazoa; Chordata; Mammalia; Chiroptera; Phyllostomidae.